ACUUCUGGUUCAGUCCCAUCAGGGCUCUGGAGCCCAAGACCCAGCAUCCAAGGCCCCCUCCAGGAAUCCUGGUGGCUCAGCUUACUUUAUUGUGUUUCAUCUGACAACAAAAAUAUCAGGCUGAAUGCACAGAAAAAUGACUCAAAGUGCUUAAUGACUAGAAGAAAUCUAGGAGCAGCAAGAAGGUGUGGAGCUGGGCAUGGUCACUCCUGCUGGAUGUCUAGAAGGUGGAAACCAAAGACCUAGAGAAAUACCAGGUACAGCCUUUCCACACUCAUCCAGAGCAAGACAAACAGGCCAGGCUUUGUCAGGAGCCCAGGUCUCCAGCUGGAGGGACUGUCAACACCGCAGUGGGAGCAGGGGCCCGUCGCACAUCCUAGGCACAGAUGGUAACAUAGGCACCACAGAAGCACUGCUGACUGGUGGUUGUCAUUGUGGCAGUGAGCGUUUUGUUCAUUCUGAGGUUGGGCUGGUUUCUCUUCUUGGCCCUGCCCUACAGAUCAUAAAGGAGAACAGCAAGAGGUCCCCAGCAAACAUCCACAGAUGGCCCUGGAGAUAAGUCACCUUCUGAGAAACAUGUCAUGUUCUGGGAGGGCUAAGGCAUCAAGUAAGGCUUAUGGGGUUGGAGGAUCCCAGGGCUGGUGGGGCAAUCUCGAGCCAUGGGGGCUUCUUAUGGGAAUUGGGAGGUCCCAAGGCAAAGACAGGGGUUCCACAGGAGGAGUCACAGAGCCACCAAGGGCUCUCCUGGCCCAGGGAGCAGUCAACACCAUGUACUGAACACCUGCUGGGCUCCAAGCUCUGGUCCAGGCUGGGGCAUGUGGGUCCCAGAGGGAGCUCAGAGUGGGAGGCAGAGAGAAGUGUGAUCAGAGGGCACACAUUUCUGGGUGCAAUGUGGUCCUGAGAUUUUGGCUGGUAAGUGCUUCCAGGGUUUCAUAUGUGUUAUGGAGCUGCUUCCUCUCCCCAGCCUCACCCUGCAGGAAUCCAGUGAAUGUAUUUCCACCAUCUUGGAGCUUAGUGCCCUCAUAGUGUAACAGCACCAGCAGAUCUUCCUGUGCAUGGACUUCCUGUACCACCCAUUCCUGAGGGGUGAUGCUUCUACAGGGCCUGUGACUUGGGGCACAACUUCAGACACCAUCAUCCUGGAGCAACAAUGCACCCUCACUAGCCAGGGUGUUGAUGACUUCCUCAAGGCCAAGACCACGUUCAAGAUUUCGGACUUUAUUGAUGCACUUGUGAUGAGCAAGGUGGGCUUCUCCGGGAUCUUAAUUGAGGAGAUAGAAUGCAGCUUGAGAUCAAGUGUCUGAUCAAAGAACUUGAACUUGAUCUGGAGGGCUUUGGGGAGCCAUGGAAGGUGCUGGAUAAGGGAGGGACAGUCAGAUACGUGUUAGAGAUGACUGUAAAAGGCUGCCUGGAAGGAGUGAACAAGAGCCAGGAGACCAGGGAGGGAGCUUGUGGGGCAGGUCUGGAGAUGGCAAGGGAAGGAUCCUGCUUGGAUGAACGGUCUCCAGAGACUGUCUCAGGUUACACUCAGGUGCCCUGAGAGCUAGUGUGUUCAGAGGUCUUGUCUCCAGGAUGAAAAUGGGAAGGAGUUGUCAGAUGAGGACAUGUAAAUGGAGGCUGGCAUAUUCGUGAGUGUCGGUGGUCCCGGUGUGGGGCUACUAUGAGAACAGGGGUCUCUCCAUCCAGCGACAUGGUGGAUGGACCCUACAUCACUCCAUUCUGCCCUUUCUUUCCCUCCUCCCGUUCUACCAAGGGCCUCACUGCAUUGCCGCUGUCCAUCCUCUGGUGCUGAAGCAGCUAAGAGACCCAAGCCUGCAUGGCUGCCUCUUAGGAUACGACAGCACAGCUAGUGGCCUCUACUUGAUCCUGUACAACCUCACAAGACACCCAGACACCAGGAGUGCUGCCAGCACGUGUUGCAAGAGUCCUGAGGGGCCACAGUCCUGAAGACAUUGAAUGGAAAAGGAGCAGAGCCCAGAAGCAGAGCCUGGUAUGCAGCCUGCCUAACAAGGGAGAAUUUGUAGGCUUUGUGGACAGAAAGAUCUGGGAGUCCAUAUCUAUCACCCACUAACUUUCUAUGAGACAUUAGUAAAAUCAGUUUUCUUUUCUGAACUACAUUUCUGCCACCUGUAAAUUGAGGGGAAUUUCUUCUACCUCACAAAGCUGCUUGGGAAAUGCCUGACAGUGAAUGCAGAGCAGGUGCCACCCAGCAGACAUUUGGUGUCCAGACCACUCCUCUUCCCCCUUGAUUUUCUGCCUAAAUUUGCAUUUUGUUCCUAAGACCUCCACUCCCCUUUAUUUUGCUUUUCCCUCUGAUUCCCACCUUAUCAUCUAUCCCAUGGAUUCACCAGGAUAUAAGUGGGUAACAGUCAUGUAUGCAUGUAUGUGUAUGUACAUAUGCCUUGUGUUGUGUUGGAGUGUGUGGUGUGUGUGUGUGUGUGUGUGUGUGUGUGUGUGUUGGAGUCACUGAGUGACUGAAACAGUCCACACCAGCCUGUGUUCCUGCUCAUUGCUGAGAGGUGCUGUCAGCUCCCCUGCCCUCAGCCCAAGUUCUGACCCUUGCAGUGCAGUGCAGACAGGGCAUUCAGGAGGAAUCAUGUCCUUGGAAGGAGCCCUGAGGAGUGACUGCUUCUACAAUCCUCAUAGACCUGUCAUUAUGCUGAGGAUCAGAGAGGGAAAGUCACUUGCCCAAAGUCACACAGCUGAACGGUGGUGGAGUUCAACUUUGACUGUUGGCUGUCUUGUCCCAAGUUUUUAGUGAAAAAAAACUGGGGCAAAGAGCAAUACAAGAGAGUUGCCAAAAUUCAUACUGCUGGUGCAGGUUUGAACCAAGCAGUCUGCACUUAGAGUCCUGUCUGUAACCAUGGCACCCUGGCUUCUCAUGCAUCUCAUCCUGGAGUUCCACUUUUUGUCAAGCAUGGCACUGAGCAGUUUCUUUUAAGAACAUAAUUUGUAAUUAUGUAGAUUACUAAUUCUACUUCAAAAUGACACACGGUCUUCAUGUGAUAAAAGGAAACAAUUGAAACCUCAGCUCCUGUGCCGAGGAGCCUGGUCCCUUUGGGCAACGUGACAGUCAGGUGCUGGCAGGGACCUCGAAGCAGCUGAAGGGUAAUUAAGAAAAAGCUGUUUACAAAGGCUUGUGGAGCCACAGAGAAGUUUUUCAGGAACUCAUAGGGAGAAUCUGCAGCUGAAAGAGGAGGCCAGAGGAGACAUCACUCCCUGUGCCCUUUGACUGAGUCCGGAUGCCCCCGCUGACCACACUACCAUCCCCUUAUUAGACUGGAGAGGCUGCAGGGAGGGGUUCUAAGCCUCGUAUUGUGGCUCACCUCCACCACUCAUCUGAUCUGCUGGGAUCUCUACUAAGGUGUUGACGGCCUGGUCAGCUGGUCUGGCCAUGGAUGUGCCUUCAGGGGCUGGUUAUGCUUCAUGACCUGUGUUGCGGUCAGUGCCAUUUUGCAGACCCUGGUCAGAAUGAAACGUUCC
Long non-coding RNA from Pongo pygmaeus (Bornean orangutan), 3483 nucleotides. RefSeq lists it as uncharacterized. The record is from RefSeq and is a predicted model, not a curated record. NCBI's taxonomy places the organism in Eukaryota, Metazoa, Chordata, Mammalia, Primates, Hominidae. The transcript is spliced from 10 exons.